AUCGCUGCUCGCUUUGCUAGAUCAGUGUAGUAUCUGUCUAUCAGUUUAAAUCUGAUAUGUUCUCUACCCGAGAACAACGUAUAAACGGAUUUUUGGAGCAAGGAGUAGAGUGAGAGCUUGCUCGUCACUCACGCAUCGACCUGGUAUUGCAGUAUUUCAGGACUGGUGCACCCCUC
Molecule: small nuclear RNA, 176 nt
Filed under: Tursiops truncatus (common bottlenose dolphin)
Lineage: Eukaryota; Metazoa; Chordata; Mammalia; Artiodactyla; Delphinidae
Description: U2 spliceosomal RNA (ENSTTRG00000022357.1)
Rfam family: U2 spliceosomal RNA
About the family: U2 is a small nuclear RNA (snRNA) component of the spliceosome (involved in pre-mRNA splicing). Complementary binding between U2 snRNA (in an area lying towards the 5' end but 3' to hairpin I) and the branchpoint sequence (BPS) of the intron results the bulging out of an unpaired adenosine, on the BPS, which initiates a nucleophilic attack at the intronic 5' splice site, thus starting the first of two transesterification reactions that mediate splicing.
Source: RNAcentral